RNAcentral lists this ribosomal RNA (192 nucleotides) under uncultured bacterium. Its description in RNAcentral is "partial 16S ribosomal RNA". It matches the Rfam family "Bacterial small subunit ribosomal RNA", at positions 1301 to 1500 of the family's 1533-position model. The record is from RNAcentral.
CAGGCUGGAACUCGCCUGCAUGAAGUUGGAUUCGCUAGUAAUCGCGCAUCAGCCAUGGCGCGGUGAAUACGUUCCCGGGCCUUGUACACACCGCCCGUCAAGCCAUGGAAGCCGGGGGCGCUUGAAGUGCGUUGCCGCAAGGCGCGCCCUAGAGCGAAACCGGUGACUGGGGCUAAGUCGUAACAAGGUAUC